This 248-nucleotide long non-coding RNA is filed under the name Prunus persica (peach). Its description in RNAcentral is "long non-coding RNA (PPER_LNC003047)". The record is from RNAcentral. Lineage: Eukaryota; Viridiplantae; Streptophyta; Magnoliopsida; Rosales; Rosaceae.
CCACCCAUUUCUCAAUUAGUCUACCAAAUUUAUUUUUAUUUCUCAAUUUAUUUUUUCAUUGUCAAUUUUAUCAAUCUUCUUUCAUUCUCAUACUUUUCAUAUCAUUUCAGGCACAUUAUCUUCUUCAUUCUCAUACUUUUCAUGUUUUCUUUUGGAAUAAAAAUAUAUUUGUGGAAUUUCAAUUUUUUUAGGUCAAAUUGUUCAAAAAAUUAAAUUAUGAAGUUAUUUUAAAGAUUAAAUGAAGAAAC